Molecule: unclassified non-coding RNA, 224 nt
Filed under: Hevea brasiliensis (rubber tree)
Lineage: Eukaryota; Viridiplantae; Streptophyta; Magnoliopsida; Malpighiales; Euphorbiaceae
Source: RNAcentral
GAAAUAUGCACAGUCGGGUACAAUACAGGAUAGAGAGGAGCAGUCAAAAUCAGCAACUAACACAAGCAAAAAAGGACCAUGUUCUGUAAGCCAAGAGGUGGAUGACUCUGUUAUCUGUAAUGAUGAAGAUGUUUCUAUGGAAACACAAGAGAAUAUUCUGUCCGAUGAAAGCCACACUGCCAAGAGGACGACUACCUGCAGUCCAGCAUCUUCUCAGAUUACCG